Molecule: ribosomal RNA, 339 nt
Filed under: uncultured Enterobacteriaceae bacterium
Lineage: Bacteria; Pseudomonadati; Pseudomonadota; Gammaproteobacteria; Enterobacterales; Enterobacteriaceae
Description: bacterial SSU rRNA
Rfam family: Bacterial small subunit ribosomal RNA
Source: RNAcentral
CGAUGGCUGUCGUCAGCUCGUGUUGUGAAAUGUUGGGUUAAGUCCCGCAACGAGCGCAACCCUUAUCCUUUGUUGCCAGCGGUCCGGCCGGGAACUCAAAGGAGACUGCCAGUGAUAAACUGGAGGAAGGUGGGGAUGACGUCAAGUCAUCAUGGCCCUUACGACCAGGGCUACACACGUGCUACAAUGGCGCAUACAAAGAGAAGCGACCUCGCGAGAGCAAGCGGACCUCAUAAAGUGCGUCGUAGUCCGGAUUGGAGUCUGCAACUCGACUCCAUGAAGUCGGAAUCGCUAGUAAUCGUGGAUCAGAAUGCCACGGUGAAUACGUUCCCGGGCCUU